UUCGGGCUUGAUGGAGAUGAGUCUUCCCACGCUAGAUCAAUGUUAGAAUUGAAAGAUAACAUACAAAAGAGAUUAUGAGACUUGAGUAUAAAAGUGCAAAUGUCACUAAUCCAUUAAUGUCAUCUGGUAUUGAGGAAUGAAAACGAUGUUGGAUAAAUCACCAUUGAAAUUGUAUGUUUGUACUUGUAGUCCGCAAGAAGUUAUGAACUUUUCCCCAGUAUAAUUGUAAAUCCUCGGCCGAAUUCUUAUAUAUGAUUGAAAAAACUUGAAUAUGUCAUCCAAUUCAUCACAGAUUACCAAUUCAUCCAAUUCAUUCCUUGCAAGGCAAUGAAGGGAUUAUAAAGACACUAAUCUAAACCAAACGCCUGAGUGCUUACCUGCGCUGUAUGAUAAGAGCGCAGCCUGAAUCUGCAAACCUUUCAAACUCCCCGAUGACAACCUGCAUGACCACAGAGAAGUUCGAUUUUUUUUUUUAGGGUCAAACAAUGAUUAUAUAUUAACUUGUUGAUGCUUUUACUUUUGUACUACAAGCUGUAUACCUAACACCGUAUGUACCGAAAAGGCAGAGAAGCUCCCAUUUGCUUUCGCAUUCGGUCAAAUUGGUUCUAUAAAGGGAAUAGUGAGGGUGUGAGACUGUGAGAGUGUGAGGUACUGGAAAUGAGAAAGAAGUCGAUCAUGAUUAAAAUGGUUGAAUUUUGCAACUUUAGGCAAUUUGAAUCACGUCUGAAGUUGAAAUUGGAAGGGAAAUAGGCCAUUAUUUCUUGUUCAAAGCAAUUGCCGGAAUCGGCAUUUUGAGAGUGACAGACUACGAAGCGUAGAGCGAGACACAGUCCCUCUAAACUGGGCAACCAAAUCCUAAAUAUGGCGGAAUUUUGGUAAAGCAUGCAUCUCUUUUUUUGGAGUACAGGCUAUUUUUGUAAGACCAAAGCACUCACAAUAAAUAGAACUCAGUUUAUCUGAA
This 961-nucleotide long non-coding RNA is filed under the name Fragaria vesca (wild strawberry). Its description in RNAcentral is "long non-coding RNA (FVES_LNC002365)". The record is from RNAcentral. Lineage: Eukaryota; Viridiplantae; Streptophyta; Magnoliopsida; Rosales; Rosaceae.